Molecule: ribosomal RNA, 253 nt
Filed under: uncultured bacterium
Lineage: Bacteria
Description: partial 16S ribosomal RNA
Rfam family: Bacterial small subunit ribosomal RNA
Source: RNAcentral
UCCGUAGGGUGCGAGCGUUGUCCGGAAUUACUGGGCGUAAAGAGCUCGUAGGUGGUUUGUCGCGUUGUUCGUGAAAACCCACAGCUUAACUGUGGGCGUGCGGGCGAUACGGGCAGACUGGAGUACUGCAGGGGAGACUGGAAUUCCUGGUGUAGCGGUGAAAUGCGCAGAUAUCAGGAGGAACACCGGUGGCGAAGGCGGGUCUCUGGGCCGAUAUUGACGCUGAGGAGCGAAAGCGUGGGGAGCGAACAGG